Molecule: ribosomal RNA, 839 nt
Filed under: uncultured beta proteobacterium
Lineage: Bacteria; Pseudomonadati; Pseudomonadota; Betaproteobacteria
Description: bacterial SSU rRNA
Rfam family: Bacterial small subunit ribosomal RNA
Source: RNAcentral
AACGGUAACGCGGACUUCGGUCUGGCGACGAGUGGCGAACGGGUGAGUAAUGCAUCGGAACGUAUCCAUUUGUGGGGGAUAGCCCGGCGAAAGCCGGAUUAAUACCGCAUAAUCUCUGAGGAGGAAAGUGGGGGACCUUCGGGCCUUACGCUGAUGGAGCGGCUGAUGUCGGAUUAGCUUGUUGGUAGGGUAAAGGCCUACCAAGGCGACGAUCCGUAGCUGGUCUGAGAGGACGACCAGCCACACUGGAACUGAGACACGGUCCAGACUCCUACGGGAGGCAGCAGUGGGGAAUUUUGGACAAUGGGGGCAACCCUGAUCCAGCCAUGCCGCGUGCGGGAAGAAGGCCUUCGGGUUGUAAACCGCUUUCAGACGGAAAGAAACAGUACAAGCUAAUACCUUGUACGAAUGACGGUACCGUCAGAAGAAGCACCGGCUAACUACGUGCCAGCAGCCGCGGUAAUACGUAGGGUGCGAGCGUUAAUCGGAAUUACUGGGCGUAAAGAGUGCGCAGGCGGCUCUCUAAGACAGGUGUGAAAUCCCCGGGCUUAACCUGGGAAUGGCGCUUGUGACUGGAGAGCUAGAGUGUGGCAGAGGGGAAUGGAAUUCCUGGUGUAGCAGUGAAAUGUGUAGAUAUCAGGAGGAACACCGAUGGCGAAGGCAGUUCCCUGGGCCAACACUGACGCUCAUGCACGAAAGCGUGGGGAGCAAACAGGAUUAGAUACCCUGGUAGUCCACGCCCUAAACGAUGUCAACUAGUUGUUGGGGAAGGAGACUUCUUUAGUAACGUAGCUAACGCGUGAAGUUGACCGCCUGGGGAGUACGGCCGCAAGGUUAAA